This 948-nucleotide ribosomal RNA is filed under the name Halomonas sp. 10P18. RNAcentral's name for it is "bacterial SSU rRNA". It matches the Rfam family "Bacterial small subunit ribosomal RNA", at positions 411 to 1351 of the family's 1533-position model. Lineage: Bacteria; Pseudomonadati; Pseudomonadota; Gammaproteobacteria; Oceanospirillales; Halomonadaceae. The record is from RNAcentral.
AAGGCCCUCGGGUUGUAAAGCACUUUCAGUGAGGAAGAACGCCUGGUGGUUAAUACCCAUCAGGAAAGACAUCACUCACAGAAGAAGCACCGGCUAACUCCGUGCCAGCAGCCGCGGUAAUACGGAGGGUGCGAGCGUUAAUCGGAAUUACUGGGCGUAAAGCGCGCGUAGGUGGCUUGAUAAGCCGGUUGUGAAAGCCCCGGGCUCAACCUGGGAACGGCAUCCGGAACUGUCAAGCUAGAGUGCAGGAGAGGAAGGUAGAAUUCCCGGUGUAGCGGUGAAAUGCGUAGAGAUCGGGAGGAAUACCAGUGGCGAAGGCGGCCUUCUGGACUGACACUGACACUGAGGUGCGAAAGCGUGGGUAGCAAACAGGAUUAGAUACCCUGGUAGUCCACGCCGUAAACGAUGUCGACCAGCCGUUGGGUGCCUAGCGCACUUUGUGGCGAAGUUAACGCGAUAAGUCGACCGCCUGGGGAGUACGGCCGCAAGGUUAAAACUCAAAUGAAUUGACGGGGGCCCGCACAAGCGGUGGAGCAUGUGGUUUAAUUCGAUGCAACGCGAAGAACCUUACCUACUCUUGACAUCCUGCGAACUUGUGAGAGAUCACUUGGUGCCUUCGGGAACGCAGAGACAGGUGCUGCAUGGCUGUCGUCAGCUCGUGUUGUGAAAUGUUGGGUUAAGUCCCGUAACGAGCGCAACCCUUGUCCUUAUUUGCCAGCGCGUAAAGGCGGGAACUCUAAGGAGACUGCCGGUGACAAACCGGAGGAAGGUGGGGACGACGUCAAGUCAUCAUGGCCCUUACGAGUAGGGCUACACACGUGCUACAAUGGUCGGUACAAAGGGUUGCCAACUCGCGAGAGUGAGCCAAUCCCGAAAAGCCGAUCUCAGUCCGGAUCGGAGUCUGCAACUCGACUCCGUGAAGUCGGAAUCGCUAGUAAUCGUGGAUCA